GAUGAAGAACGCAGCGAAAUGCGAUAAGUAAUGUGAAUUGCAGAAUUCAGUGAAUCAUCGAAUCUUUGAACGCACAUUGCGCCCCCCAGUAUUCUGGCGGGCAUGCCUGUUCGUGCGUCAUUUCAACCAUCAAGCCCUGCUUGUGUUGGGGUCCUGCGGCUGCCCGCAGGCCCUGAAAACCAGUGGCGGGCUCGCUAGUCACACCGAGCGCAGUAGCACAUCUCGCUCAGGGCGUGCGGCGGGCUCCAGCCGUUAAAGCACCCACCUUUCGCAAGGUUGACCUCGGAUCAGGUAGGAAUACCCGCUGAACUUAAGCAUAUCAAUAAGCGGAGGA
This 334-nucleotide unclassified non-coding RNA is filed under the name soil metagenome. RNAcentral describes it as "partial contains 5.8S ribosomal RNA, internal transcribed spacer 2, and large subunit ribosomal RNA". The stretch from base 1 to 120 matches the Rfam family "5.8S ribosomal RNA", at positions 35 to 154 of the family's 154-position model. The record is from RNAcentral.